UUUCGAUUAAAAGUUCACCACUUUUCGUGAAGGAAAUCGAAUUUUCUGUUUUUCGCGAGAUUUGUCAAGGAAAUCUUGUAAUAACAAAAUGUUUGCUCCCUUAGCUCGUAUUUCAAACAAACUUGGCAGGAAUGCCAUCACCACCAUGGUGAGGAACCACUCCCACGGUGGUGUCCCUGGCGAGAACCUGCCCUUCGACAUCUCCAACCGCUACAAGCUGACUGUCUACUUCAUUGCAUUCUUCGGCUCCGGUCUGGCUGCUCCUUACCUCAUCUGCCGUCACCAGCUUCUGAAGAAGUAAGGUUCUAGCAUCCACGUUGCCGCAUCAAAAUGUAUUAGGAUUAAGCUAGCAAACUGUAUAUUUUAAUCAUAAUUUAUGAUUUAAUAAAUUCCGUUUAGAGUUA
Helicoverpa zea (corn earworm) is the source of this 404-nucleotide long non-coding RNA. RefSeq lists it as uncharacterized. The transcript has 3 exons. The record is from RefSeq and is a predicted model, not a curated record. NCBI's taxonomy places the organism in Eukaryota, Metazoa, Arthropoda, Insecta, Lepidoptera, Noctuidae.